Papio anubis (olive baboon) is the source of this 1926-nucleotide long non-coding RNA. Lineage: Eukaryota; Metazoa; Chordata; Mammalia; Primates; Cercopithecidae. The record is from Ensembl.
AUGCAGUUGCUCAUCAUAGCGUUCCAACCAAGUGCGCAGCUCAGAGACCUGGUAGCCGUCGGGGCCACGGCCACCUUGGUACAUAAUAGUGCCACUCUGGAUGACAUAGAGACGCUCGAAGUAGGCGCCAUAGGCCGAGCUGCUGGAGUUGGCCAUGGUGUCGAGGACCAGAGCGCAGCCGGGUGCACCUUGCUGCAGUACCCUAGCUGCGCUGACCCGGUCUUCCAGGCUCCGGUGCUGCGGGAUGAUGUAGGGGGAGUCAGUGGUGACCCAGCCGUCGGAGGGGUGCGCUUCCUCGAUGUAGAUGAUGAGGAAGUCGACGUCGCGCUGGUACUUGGUGACCAGGCGCUGGAAGGCGCUCAUGCGCGCCAUGAACGGUGGUCAGGUGCAGCUGCCGAAAUUGAGAACCAGCGGGCGGUUCCCUUGCGCGUAGUCGAGGAUGCGCUGGCUCUGGAAGCCGUCGGGCAGAACCACCUCGGAGUUGGGUGCCGGACCACCCUCGUGCGCCUGCUUGAAGAAAUCCAACUUCUGACCAUGCCACACCGCCUUGAGCGACGCCAGGGUGCACAGGCGGUUGUCGUCGGACACGCAGAUGGGCGGGUCAUCGGGGGGCACCUCCUCGCCUUCACUGUUGAGCUCCACUUCGGGCUCGGGCUGCCCCCGGCGGCGGCGGCCCAGGAAAUGCUUGCGGAUACACAAGAAAUCGAGGAGCCAAAGCAUGAAGGCCGUGCCGAGGAAGCGCGGGAAGAGCACGAGGCACGAGGCGGUCUGGGCGCAGAGCCUCAAGGAGUGAAGCAGCAGGGAGCGGAGCAUGGUGGCUGCAGGCCCCGAAGCCCCCUGGGACCCCUCGCCCUCUCCGACCACCAACCGCGACGCGGCCUGGCUAGGCAUCUGGGCUUCGGCAGUGCAGGGAGUUCAAUUUAUAGCCGAGGCUUCAAUUGGCGGGAGACUCCACCUCCGGCCCGGCCCGCCCCCUUGCAACUUGAGCCCGGAGGGAUCACCCAGCGGCGCGGCCAAUGCCCUAGAAAUCGUGGGCUGAGGGCGGGCGCAGGCGGGCGGAGGGCGGAGCGGCCGGGCCUGGGGCCGGUGGGGGCGGGCCCGGGCCCCGCAGCCAGCUCUCGGGGCGGGGGACUCCGGUCGCCGCUGCCGCUGGGGACCGGGAGCCCGACCGGGGACCUGGGCGUCCGCUGGGGAGGUCCUCCAGCUGGCGCGAGCGCUGCACGCCGCCCUGGUCCCCGCCGCCUGGCUCCGGCCCGCACCCCCCUCGCCGCGCACCUGAGCCGAGCUCCCCGGCGGCCGCCGAGCCGCGCCGGAGCUCCGGUUCGCUUCCCGCGCGCCGCCGCCAACGCCGCCCACGCCGCUGCCGCUCGUGCGGGGCCGCUGCCCAGGUGCCGCGGGAGGCCGGGUCCGCGGCCGCCGCUUCGGUGGCCCCGGCUCCCGCCCCACCGAGGACGCUGGCCCGCGAGGAGGCAACUUUGCGUUCCGCCGCCUUCCCGGCUCGCCCGCGGGCGCCGCUCGCCUGCCGGAGCCCGCCCGCCCGCCUCCCGCGCGCGCUCACACUUCGCGCCUCGCACACGGCCGCCCCCCGCACCGCCCCGCCACGCACACCGCGCUCCGCGCCCCCUCGCCGCUGCCCGAGGCUGCCGCGCGCUGCCCCAGCCCGCGCCGCCCUGGCCGCGCCCGCCCCGUCCCAUCUCGUUCCAGCGGGGCGCCGCGGUUCCUGGGUCAGCGGCCGCCGGGGCCCGGCUGAGAGGUGCGGAGGGCAGAGCCCGCUGGCGGGUUACCGCCGGGCGCCGGAGACCGGAGGGCUGGGGAAAGCGGCGCCGGCCCUGCGCCCCCAGCCGACCCGGGCGCGGGGCGCCACGGGCGUGGGGCGCGGGGCAGCGGGCGCGGGGCGGCGCCGGCCCCGGGCGGCUCUCCCACUAG